RNAcentral lists this long non-coding RNA (1438 nucleotides) under Homo sapiens (human). RNAcentral's name for it is "HSALNT0316167". Lineage: Eukaryota; Metazoa; Chordata; Mammalia; Primates; Hominidae. The record is from RNAcentral.
CCUGACCCGGUCCCUCUGCACCAGCGUGGAGGGGGGAGGGGCGCGCACCCUUUCCGCCCAGGCUUUUGCGGGCUCCUCGGGCCGAACCCGAAGGGGCUGUUCCUGAACCUUGACUUGUUAUCAUAGGGACCCAAGCUCUAUUUUUGUGUGGCCAAUUCGUGCACUGCAGCAAAAUGGCCCUUCAGUCGCGUCUUGGGGUUUCUCCUCGGUUCAAAUGCUCUCGCGCUGAGAAAAAGCCGGAGGAAAAAAAAGCGACACCCUCCCUCCCCCAUUAAUUAUUUGUGGGGCCGGAGUAACGCGGGCUGGUGCAACCGGUGCAUAUAAGGACUUGUGUGCAAGGAAGGGGAUCCGCCUCCAGGCGCGGAAAGAGUAGGGAAGAAGCGCACACGCACAGUGCACCCAGCUGGGCGCUUCGGCAGUUUGCAGCUGCGGCGGGGUCGGGUCCACCCGCGGUCCCCGGAAUGCCGGACGGCUGAUCCCGGGUGCUGGUCACUCGCCGAUUCGGGGCUGGGAAGGUUUGCCAGAAGCGGGAAAGAUGGGAGAUCUGAGCGCUCUCUUGGCAUCGCCACACCCAGGACUUGCUCGUGCCGCAAUUCCCCACGGAAACAACCGAGUUGAAACGAGAAGCUUGCUCUCUGGGUGCAGUAGCUAGAAGGCUUCAGGUAACUCCAAAGCCAACACUGGGUGAGGCAACACACGCCGCCUCAGGACUCAGCAUUUCUUUCAGGCUGCGUUUUCGUGGCAGACCUACCCAGAUUGAUGGAGAAAGUUUGGCUGGCGGAUAAGAAGUAACGCGGAAGAUGUAUUAUUGUGGCUGUCACUCAGGUUUUCUGCUCAUUGGUAGACAAAGGGUGAGGAGGUGACUGAAAUUGGAACAGUGGAAGGACCCUUCACCAAAACCUGGAACUUCAGAAGAAUGGCAGGGCUGAAAAUGAUUAGUGUUAAUUCAUUCCAGUUGUGUUACCCUACCCAUAAGCCUCAGAAGUCAUGCGACUUCAUUUCCACCACUGUCAUGAAUCUACCCGGACUCAAGGGGAGGAUGCAGAGAUGCCACCUUUCAAUAAGAGGAUUAUCUAAGUUGCACUGAAGAAGAGCAUGUGGGAUGGAAGAUACUAUUGCAGUAUUUUUGGAAACUAAAGCCUACCAUAUUCUUCAAGCCUUACCAUCAAUUCUGUGUCCUCAGCAUUCUCCCCUUUGCUCACGUUAGCGAGAGUUAGUUUCUACUUUUGCUUGUAACCAAAGAAUAAUGUAGCUGGCAUAAGCACAAACAUAUCAGAAUAAGUAUAAAUAUUUAAACUUCCUUAUUAAAAGACAGAAGCUCUCAGAAUUUGUAGAAACAAAGCAAAGCAACCCCAAUAAAUUAAGAAUGUGGAUGCUUUUCAAAUCUCUCACAGAAAAUUAACAACAUUGGACCAGGCCAAAAAGUACGCUUUUUAUA